This is a small nuclear RNA of Panthera pardus (leopard), 107 nucleotides long. The record is from Ensembl. Lineage: Eukaryota; Metazoa; Chordata; Mammalia; Carnivora; Felidae.
GCGUUCACUUCGUCAGUACUUAAACUAAAAUUAGAACAAUACAGACAAGAGUAGCAUGGCCCCUCUGCAAGGAUAACAUGCGAAUUUGUGAAGGGCUCCAUAUUUUC